GCCUGUGGCUGCAUCUGAAAUGGCUGCAUUCAUCAACGACUCCCAGCCCCAGGCUUGGAAACCAAGUUCCAAGUACAUAUUUCACACAAGGUGCUAAAGUGGUGAACAGUUCUGGAGCAGUCUGAUGGCCCAAGUUGAAGCCCAGGCACCCCAGCUUGAUGCGAAGCAUCCAUUGUUCUCCAAGGAGAAGGCACAUCAAGGUAACUGAGAUGCUGGGAUUCUGGGAAGCAGCGUCCACAGAGCAUAAAGAAUGCUGCCCCUGCAAGAUCCAGAGGAGGCCUUGCCACAGCCAUCAGAAGGGGACAUGGGUGCCCUACCACACAGCUGUCCCUGCUACAGCACAUAAACAGAAUUGAAGAGCCAUUGUGUGCCAAGCUGUACUAAGUUAAGAGGGCACAGCAACCAUGAAACAUGCCUGGGAGUCUGCAUGCUGUGCUCACUGUGACUUCUCAGAGGCUGCUACUUGGUAAACGGGACCUUGCUGAAGGUGACAGUCCUCAUGGCUCGCUACAGUUCCUCUCUACUGUGCUCAGGGGCUGCCUUGCCCCUCAGGCCCCUGGGCAAGCCGGGCCAGCUGUCUGGGCUUCCCUUGUCUCAUCUCUGAAGAGGAGAUGCACCUGCUGACGGUGUGGCGUGACUGCAUUAGGUGCAGGUGUGUUUGGGAUGCAGCAGUGGUGCCGGGUUACAGGGAGCACUCAGCCGGUAGCACGUAGGAGUAGGAUGCCUGGUGACAUAAGGACGGAAGGGUCAGUGGUAAGCCCUGAGGUGUCAUUAGAAUAUGAUGGGAGGAGUGGCCCUUGCAUUGGCGGCUAUUUCCUGCUCAGUUCCUCAGAAGCCCUGGCUUGUCAUGCUCUGCUCAGUAAAUAUUUAGAAGUGGUUGCCUGGCAUCCUGGCUCCCAGCCAAGAAAGCUCCGAGGAAGCGCCUCGAGGAGAGGGCAGUGGACCUGCAGAAGCCGCUCUCUGAGUUGGUGCGGAAGGAGGAGGGGGCUGCACAGGCCAGAAACUGGCCAGGACCAGAGGCAGGCAGGGCUGAGUCUCAGGCAGGAUGAGUGGCAGCGGGGAAGGCUGUGACAGGGAAGGCCUGCACAUGUGCCGUUCCUUCCAGCGUCACCAGUUACCACUGCCACUGCUGGUUCAUGGCGCUUGGAGACAAGAUGAACAUUCUGGCUAAAUUUGCCUUGCUCAGAGGGCUUUUUCUGAGAUUACAUAGGUUGCCUCUGGUCUGUCCACCCAUAUCUGGCCUUGAACCAGGCAUGAAGCUAUUUCCCCUCUUAUCAUUUCUGUUUUCUCAUCUGAUAAAUGUCAGUGAUAACAUGUACCUCCUAGGGGUUGUUAGAAGGGCUGCAGCCAGAGCUCUUGGCAGGUGCUGGAUAUUAUUUAUUGCUUCCUUCUAUCCUGACCUGAUUCCUACAGAGUGUUAAAUAAGUCCCUUCCACAGUACUUUGAGUGGUGAUUUUAAAAUUGGAAUUUUACCAUAGUAAAC
Fukomys damarensis (Damara mole-rat) is the source of this 1483-nucleotide long non-coding RNA. RefSeq lists it as uncharacterized. The record is from RefSeq and is a predicted model, not a curated record. The transcript is spliced from 4 exons. Lineage: Eukaryota; Metazoa; Chordata; Mammalia; Rodentia; Bathyergidae.